GCAUGGCAGAGGAAAGCUGUUCAGUUCAUGACAUCCAGGAAGCAGAGGGAGAAGGAGCAGUUACAAUGGUUGCCUUUCAACUGCUCAAUUACCACUCAUACCUAGUGACCACUUUACAGGACAGCACAACUGUGAAGAGUAAAAGAAUGAGAACCUACUGCAAGAGGGCCAGGCAUUUUAUCAGGGGGAGUUGGAGAGGAGAGGAAAGAGACUCAGCCAAAGGACUGUCUAGAUUUCUUGAACCACAGCACUGAAGAUAAUCGGGUCCAUGAUAAUCCCCAACUCAGUCAAUGCACAUUAAUUGAGGACUUAUGUAUUCCUAGCAUUGUGUCUGCUGCCAGAAUGUUACCAUGAUUGAGAAUUGCUCUGUUUGUAUUUGUUUUAAGAAAAAGGAACAUUUGUAGACAUAGAUGAAUUUGAGAAGAGUUUGCUUCUGGGAAACGUUGGAGGUCUGAAUUGGAAGAAAAAGUAUUGAUUCUUUUUUGUUGUUGUUGUUCUAAUUAGUCAUACACAAUAGUAGAAUGCAUUUUGACACAUCAUACAUAAAUGGAAUAUAACUUCUCAUUCUUUCAGGUUGUAUAAUCAGUACUAUGAUUCUUUAUUCUCCUCCUCUCCUUCCUCCUCAUCUUUCUCUUCCUCUUUCUUGUUUUUCUAUGAUGAGCACAUGAUAUUUUUUCAUUCAGAAAAUUAAGACAAUAUGAGUAUCUAGGGAGUUCAUAGUUCACUGGGAGAUACAAACAUAUCACAAUGUAAUGUGGCCGGUGCUAGGAUAGGUAAGUACAAGUAUUCUGCAAAUACAGAGGAAGAAUUAUCCAGUGGUGUCUGGUGAAAUCAGGUAAGGCUCCUUAGAGGAAGUGGUAUUUAAGUUGGUCUUGAAGCAUGAAUUUGAGUUUGUCAGGUUAAGCAUUAGCCAUUGAGUCAUGGGGAGAUGGUAGCAUAAGAUGAUUCCACCUACCCUAAAAUUGUCCUCUCAGAAUACUUGUAUUAACAAGUAUUAACAAAACAUGCUAUUGUAGGAUGUUCCUGAUAACGUAUGUUUAAGUCAUUUUAAUUUCUGACAACAGAAAUUUAAUUUCUGACAACACAAUUUCUGACUGAUACAUUGCAAAUGAUCGGAAAAUUUCUCUCUCUGGAAAAUAAUUGGAUAUAUCUAGACUUCUAACUUUACAAUUAUUCCAGAAAGUCUCUGAAAUGUUUUCAUUAAGCCCAAUUUAGGGCUGGGGAUGUGGCUCAAGCGGUAACGCGCUCGCCUGGCAUGCGUGCGGCCCGGGUUCGAUCCUCAGCACCACAUACAAAGAUGUUGUGUCUGCCGAAAACUGAAAAAUAAAUAUUGAAAUUCUCUUUUUAAAAAAAAAAAAGCCCAAUUUAAUUGAAAUCGCACAAGAACUAGUGACAUAUAGGAUACAACUGAUCUUCAUUUUGGGGGGGAAUAUAAAGAAUACGAGGUAUUUUGAUCAGCAAAAUCCAUCCCUUAAUAUGUCAUUACAUUUAGAAAUGGAAUCCUCUAAUUUCCCUGACCUCCUCCUUGUAGCUAAAUAGAAAGCAAAGGGAAAUGAAGACCAUGAUGGUCUCAAAUUCCUUGUUGUGCCAUUGAUGGAGUUCUCUGGGGGCACCAAAUACCCCUACCCUAACACUAUUAAAGAGCCCUGGUAUAGAUUAGGUGGUUCCAAAACUGGCAAAAGAAUCCUGCUUUCCAACCACAGCAAAUCCUAGAAAGAGGGAUUUGGUGGAACUUGGCGGGUCUCUAGGCCUCUCAGCAAUUCCAUUUGCAUAAUGCGAUGGCAGGCAGAAGAAACAAGCUGAUUCAUCUCCUCGAUGCCCAGAUGCUGGUUGACCAGUACCUUUCAAUUAUUUAUUGAGCCACAACUAUGUGCCAGAUGCAGGGGAUACAAAGAUGAAUGUCACAUGGGUCCUGCUCUCAUGACAAAAAAAUAGGCCCUAGAGUAAAUGUUUUUGAUGACCAUAACUCUUAAGACAGACAACUCAACUCCUGUUUGCUUGUGCUUUGCAACACUGGAUAAGUCAGUUAGCGUCCCUGACUCUCUCAGCUUCCUCAUCUGGCAAACUUGGGUAAUAAUAGGAUCUGCACCACAGGGUCGUUGAUGGUGAUUUAAUGAAAGAAUAAAUGUAAAGUGCUAGUGAAGUAAAUAAUCAGAAAGUGUUUGAUUUUAUAGUAAGUAUGAGUUAGGCAAGGGUAUCUUGGGGGCUCCUAAACAGGUUGAUUUUAUUGCUAGAUUAUCAAAUAGAUUCUAGGAGUCUUCCAAAGCUGGUAGAAUAUAGGAUAUAUGAAUGUCAGUUACUACAACACUCCAUUAACAUGCAAGCUACACACACACACACACACACACACACUAUUCAUUUCAGUUUAGAAACCAAAUUACUGUUAUCAAACAUUCAUGAAAAUCAAAGACCUGGGAUGAAUUUUGAAACACCCAAAAGCUACUCUUAGCAAAUUAUUUAAAAGCUGAAAAGAGGGGCUAAAGAUGUAGCUCAGGGGUAGAGCACUUGCCUAGUAUGUGCAAGGCCCUGGAUUUGGUCCCAGUACCCUCUGCCCACCUCCAAAAAAUAAUUAAUUAAAUUAAAAAACUAAAAAGUUGAAAGUGUCAAUCCUAUCUGGCCCCAAUGGAUUUCUUAGAAAUGACUGGUCAGUAUAAAGAGUAAGCGUGUGCUUGUGUUCAGGUGUGCCUGUGAGAACAGGGUAAGUCCCAACUACUGUAAGGAGAGUACCAGGGCUGGUGGAAAGGCCCUUGUUCCAGGAGGGCACUCACAGGCCCUCAGGAGCAGCCCCUGGGACUGCCCCCUCCCCUGGAGCCACUCUAGGAAGGACUGGAGCCAGGGAACUCCUCUACAAUGCCUUUGUUUCCCAGGCUUCCCAAGUGGUAUUUUUGCCCCAGGCUUUCCACAGGCAGAGUGUCAUAGGGUUGUUCUUGUAGGGAGCAUAUGUUGUGACACACCAUCUGGCUUGUACGCAUUUCUCAAGCAGCCAUAGUAUAAAAACCUGCCUGUUUGGCAGCUACAAGUGCCCAGAGUCCCUUCGGUCUCUUUCUUGGACGGUUUUACAACAUCAAUGGAUAUAAUUAAGAACUAAACCAAGCAUAUGGAUUCAGGACCACACCAUGACCAUGAAAGGGAGCUUUACCUUGGAAUAGGAGUUACUAGGGGUGGAUCCACCCUCAGGCUCCUGGGCAGUGGAGUACAUGAGCUGGUGGUCCUGGCACAGCAGCUAACAGCUGGGCACAGUGUCACCCGGGCUUACAGCUCAACCUCCUAGAGAGGAACAUGGCAUAUUGGUUACACUCCCUGACACCCAGAGCCCAGUCAAGGGAAAAGGAAGCAGCUUGCAGAUGGGAGCCCCUCUGCCUGUUGGCUCCAUGCAAUGGAGAAUACCAGAGCCUCCCCAACCCAGGGGUUGCCAGCAUUUGAAUUGCUUCUCUUUGAACAGAGAGAACAUUACCAUUUGCAGAACAGCAGUUAUUUCCAGAAGAUGUGGAGGGAGAAGCCAUAAUCAAGCUCCAGAGAUUUGAACUAGAAGAUAAAGUUUGAAAGUAUAGAUGACUAUGUAUGUGUGCAUGCGUGUGUGUGUGUGUGUGUGUGUGUGCGCGUGUGCAUGCACAUAUAAAAUAAUAGGCAGCUAAAGGAAAAG
Molecule: long non-coding RNA, 3643 nt
Organism: Ictidomys tridecemlineatus (thirteen-lined ground squirrel)
Lineage: Eukaryota; Metazoa; Chordata; Mammalia; Rodentia; Sciuridae
Source: RefSeq, a predicted model, not a curated record